CUUUCCUCACUAGUUAGUGGUGCCUACUGCCUAGGCAUCGUCUGAUUUCUGGAAUUAGACAGCUUUUACAAAGUGAAGCUUGAAUGUUUUGCUUCAAUUUUUAUUUGUUAAUUUAUUUUUCCCUGUUUCUCUCGGUCUGAAAACUUGUCAUUACAUUUAAAUCAAAGCUGGAGACGGAGGUACAUGUGUCUUGUACAUUUUGGGAAAAGUUGAUCCACCGAGUUUUUGUUUUUCCUCUUUAAUUUAAUAAUAACAAUAAAACGGAUGAUGGAUCAGGAUCUGCCACUUUGAGUUGAAAUUAGUGAUUCGACCCGAAUGUGGAAUAAAGGAAGGGGGAUCUGUGACGCAUGAUGGAGCUGUGCAAUGUAAGUUGAGUGUGCCCAUUACAUUAAAAAAAUGCUGCAUUUGUAGUCCAGUGGUCGGUUGGUCGGUCGGCCAGUACGGCUUUGGCAAAGGAUCCGUCCUCAAUCGACAAUUUAUUCGUCCACUACGAUUUUAAUAUAAUUUUACUAUUUGUCGUACGUAUGCUAUUGUGGUCCUUCAAAUCUUCUCCUACGCCCUUCCCUUGGGUUCCCUACGGCUCUUGCAUAGACUAAUCAUUCAUGAUUGGUCAAGUUUUAUAUCAAGUGCAUGUAUUGAUGUGAUUGGAGCAAACUUUUCAACUAAGGCACUCGAAAUCUUUUUUGAGUGAGUGGACGAUUUCAGGAUCUUUCCGCCGGCCUCUGAUAUGUGCACUCCAAAUAGAAUGUAAGUUGGUUUCAUGCUUUGAUGAUUAGGAAGGUAUAAAUUCCUCAUUACUCAUUACAGGUUAAUUUUAUCCUUUAUUCCCACGCUAAUCUUGCAUCUUUUCAUACCCACCAAAAGCGUAAAGGAAAAUAUAUCAAUUAGACCUUUUUAGAUUUUUUUUUCCUCUCUAUCAAUAGACUUGAUAAUUUAAUAAUUUAAUGGUUUGUUACCUUUCUCUACAGCUUUCCCACGUAUCAAUAUAACUUAUAACGUAAGAUAGUAGUGGGAAAUGAAGAGAAAUGGGUGGAUAUAUGAAGUUGGGAUCUGUUGUGUUCCAGCUCAAGAAUGGUGUGAUUGUUCUCUGUUGAAUGGAGCUAUUUGUAUAUUCCAUGGAAGAUUCCUCAGGCCCUAUCGGUAGUGCUGUUCCUUUCCCAUCAUUUUCAAAUCCUGUACUACUUAAAAAUUUAAUUUUAUUGGUUCAUCUGUUUCCCACCUACACAGUAAUUGAUUCACUAAUCGAUAACGCCAUUAACAUCUGUGUUGAAUUUCUCUUUUAGUUGGGCUUUAUUAGGAUUCAAAUUCGAAACUUUACGAUUUUAAAGACACCUCGGUACUAAUGAGUUACAAUUUAUUAAUAAAUAACACCUUAUUAUAAAUUCAAAACAUAAAUAUAUAAAUCAUUCCAUAUAAAAAUUAUAAAAUUCACACAUUUAUGUAUUAAGUUUAUAAUAAAUCAAGUCUAUCUAAUUUUAUUUUAUUUUUUUUUCACUUUUAAACGAGCGAGUAAAUUAUGGCGUAACAGUUUAACUAAUAGUCUGCCUAACAGGAUAUGCGGUGCCUAUCCACUAAUAUAUAUGAAAUAACAAGAAAAGAAAAAGAUGAUGAGAGAGAGAGAGAGAGAGAGAGAGAGAGAGAGAGAGGAGAGCAUUAUUGGAUAAGAUAGAAGCGUAUUUGGAGACGGCAAGAUUAACCCCGCAAUAUGAUAAUGUUUAUAUCGUUGACUCUGUCUUCACAAAUUUAUACUUCAAAUUCAUUCACUUCCUAUAACUUAGUCCAGCAGCAAUAUUAGAAACUCCUUAUAAUAAAAGUCUCCGCUCAUAUCUACUCUUUCGAAAAAAUUUACAAUAAUCUUAUUAAUUAUAAUAAACACAUAUAAAUCCUCAUAUUUGAGAUCUAAAAAUGGAUUCAGAUUCAGAGUGUAUUUUGGUGAAUUUAGUUUCUAUUUUUCUUGCGUAUCCCUUUUUAUCUUUUUUUUUUUUUAUCUUUUUUGUCUUUCAGUGAUAGUGUAACAACCUUUCCAUAUCUAUACCCUCCUGUCACAGUUAAGCUGGCGGUGCAUACAAACGUACGACAUCCUUUUCUCUUACGUUAGGCGACUAUUUAAUUCCCUCUACAUCACCUGAAUACGAUUCAGAAUAUUACAGAGUCUAUUUUACCAUGAGGAAUGGGUAUUCAGGGUCAGGAUUCUAAGGACAGAUUCAUGUCCAGCCCGAUUUUUCCAGACUGACCUUGAUCCCACACGAGGCUUAAAGCCGCUCAUUGGGCCCUCUUGGAGUUUAGGCCCAGUCCUUCUAGCUUAGGCUUUACCAAGGCCCAGGUGCUUGGAGUAUGGCCGUCAUUAAGUGUCAUUUUAUCCGCUCAUUAAUUAUUCCAUAAUUUACGAGGGCUAAAUUUAAAAAUCUCAAUUAUUACCGCGCGACUCCAGAAAAGUUAUGUUAAAAUGUCCUUUCUUUACCUUUUUCCAUUUCAAACUUGUGCUUUUGCUUUCGCUCGUUGCUUUGUCUUUUGUGCUGCUUCUGCUAUCUUACUUUUUUCUUCUUUGUAAUCUUCGAUUUUCCAAUCUAAGGUACGUCUUGCUUCACUCAUGCCUUCUACUAGGAUUUUUGAGGUGGUCGGUCUUCUGUCUUCUAUCACUCUUUUUUAUUUCUCCCACUAUUUUUCUCGCGACCUCACUGACACCACAAUCUUCAAAAUUAGAGCUCUCUUGCCUAAUGAGCAUAUAGUUCUCCCUAACCCACUACCUGUAGGCCUGAUAGAUGCUCAACAAGCGCGUAAUUUGGUCUUUUUUGUAAAGCAGCACGAGUUUGGUUCUUACUUUUCCGUUUACUCCCUUUUUCAUUGAGGUCUUCCGUCACUUUAGAGUGACCCCUCGAAUGUUAUCUCCCAAUUUCAUCUUGUUUAUAUACUGUUUUGAAUCUAUUUGCUUGUGUAGGGGUUUUGCUUUUUCCCUCGAGUUAUUCUGUACUUUCUUCCAUUUGCUUAGAUCUAACCAUGGGUUCUACUAUUUUGGUCCCCGAAUUGGGUUGUCAAUAUUUACGAGGUAUAAGGAUUCCAUUAAGGGUUGGCCAAAACAGUUUGUUGUUAUUGAGCUGAAGGAGAGCUUGGGAAUUAACUGAGACAUUGACCUCUCCUGGAGGGAGAUUCCUUAGGGCUGUAAUGAGUUUUCUAGGUUAACCCUAGUAGAUCAAAUCUGCCUUCUUUGACUAACCUCUAUAAGGAAGAAAUAUAAUGUCGAGAAGUGCAUAUUCAUGUCUAACCUACGGGACUGCUAGGAAGCUGGUAGCUUUUGAUUUUUUUCCUUUUAUGUCUGUCUUUUGUUAUUUUGAGCUCUAAUUGAACCGAUCUUUUCUUUUCAGUUUCCUACGUUCCAAUGGGUACUAUUAAACUCCCUAAGAACUUCACCCUGUCCAGAGAGAGCAUGAAGGAGACUUUGGCUGCUUUCAAGGUUAACAAGUCUAUCACCGAUGUGACCCGGAGGUUUUCUAGGCUGCAACUCCUAUAUUGUUAGCUCACCCCUCUGCUCAUAUCCUCACACCCUCUUUGAAUUUGGUGCCAGUGUCGGGGGUUCUCGUUUUGCGGCUCCAGGAUGUUGAUCCCACCCAAGGCGUCGGCCUCUUCUAAGGCUCUAACCGCUCCAAAGGAAGUUUACAAGGAGCCCAUUGUGGUUAGUGAGUCGGCGAACAAUAGCUUGGAGGAGGGCAUCGGGUCUCCACCCUUGGACGUUUCCCCCAUCAGGGCCGUGAGAGUUAUUGCUAUGGAGGGUCAGGUUGCUAAGCGCGCCAGGGCUUCAUAGCCCACGGAGAAAGUUCCUUCCACUCAUGUUGAUAAGGGGAAGAAGGUGGUGGAGAACCUAUCUUCUGCCCCAGAUAACGACCUGCUAAAUGCUGUCGA
This 3897-nucleotide long non-coding RNA is filed under the name Manihot esculenta (cassava). RNAcentral describes it as "long non-coding RNA (MESC_LNC002616)". Lineage: Eukaryota; Viridiplantae; Streptophyta; Magnoliopsida; Malpighiales; Euphorbiaceae. The record is from RNAcentral.